This is a non-coding RNA of Acanthosepion pharaonis, 111 nucleotides long. Lineage: Eukaryota; Metazoa; Mollusca; Cephalopoda; Sepiida; Sepiidae. The record is from the annotation of a GenBank genome assembly.
UAUGGUCAUAUCACGUUGAAACACCGGAUCUCGUACAAUCACCAAAGUUAAGCAACGUCGAGUCUGUUUGGUACCUAGAUGGGUAACCACUUGUGAAUACUGUAAGCUGUA